AUGGGAGUGUUACCUUCACUUCUGAUCGUGUACUCCGGCGUGCUAGAUGGGGUCGAGGCACCGUGUGCUUCCAGUACGGUGCUCAUUGAUUUCGAUGAGGUCGCCAUCUACAGCACCAUCACCAAAGCUCUCCUCCGAGCCUUUAUUUGCUCCUUUUUCUCGUCAAGGUCCAUCGAGGAUGGUUGGCACACAUUAGUGAUAUCACCGAGAGGUCCAUAUAAUUAUGAUGUCUUGGAGGGUAUGACGUUCGGCAAUAUUUCUGAAUCCUUCAAUGCUGACUUUGAGGAUGGUACAAUCGGGGAGGUAUGGAUCUUUGAGAGUAUCCUUCUGGGUGAAUAUGGAGAAGUAAUGAAUAUCCAAGUACUUGNNNNNNNNNNNNNNAGUCGCCCACGGGAACUCCUAUGUCGCUGUCGUGGUUUCGCGGCCGCGGCGUUGUCCAGUGGUUCCGUGGCGGCGGUGCUGUCGAGUGGUUCCGCGACGGCGGCGCUGUGGACUGUGCAGAUCCAGAUGGAGUCGGGCGGCGAGAUCCAGAUGGACUUAGGCGGAGAUCCAGAUGGACUCAGGCGGCGAGAUCUGGUGCGGGGUAUGAGGUUCUACGGCAGGCCGAUCCUGUGUGGGCGGGGUUCUCGGUGGGUUGGUGUGGGGGUGAUGGGACGGAAAAAACCGGUUGAAAAAAAACCAGAAGAAAGUGGGGGGACUAUUCAACCAACUCGUUCAUUAAGAGUAGAGAUAGUUAAAUAA
Molecule: ribosomal RNA, 741 nt
Filed under: Triticum aestivum (bread wheat)
Lineage: Eukaryota; Viridiplantae; Streptophyta; Magnoliopsida; Poales; Poaceae
Description: partial small subunit ribosomal RNA
Source: RNAcentral